GUAGGGAAUCUUCCACAAUGGACGAAAGUCUGAUGGAGCAACGCCGCGUGAGUGAAGAAGGGUUUCGGCUCGUAAAACUCUGUUGUUAAAGAAGAACAUAUCUGAGAGUAACUGUUCAGGUAUUGACGGUAUUUAACCAGAAAGCCACGGCUAACUACGUGCCAGCAGCCGCGGUAAUACGUAGGUGGCAAGCGUUGUCCGGAUUUAUUGGGCGUAACGCGAGCGCAGGCGGUUUUUUAAGUCUGAUGUGAAAGCCUUCGGCUCAACCGAAGAAGUGCAUCGGAAACUGGGAAACUUGAGUGGAGAAGAGGACAGUGGAACUCCAUGUGUAGCGGUGAAAUGCGUAGAUAUAUGGAAGAACACCAGUGGCGAAGGCGGCUGUCUGGUCUGUAACUGACGCUGAGGCUCGAAAGUAUGGGUAGCAAACAGGAUUAGAUACCCUGGUAGUCC
RNAcentral lists this ribosomal RNA (450 nucleotides) under uncultured bacterium. RNAcentral describes it as "partial 16S ribosomal RNA". It matches the Rfam family "Bacterial small subunit ribosomal RNA", at positions 354 to 796 of the family's 1533-position model. The record is from RNAcentral.